AGUGAACGCUGGCGGUAGGCCUAACACAUGCAAGUCGAACGGCAGCACAGUAAGAGCUUGCUCUUACGGGUGGCGAGUGGCGGACGGGUGAGGAAUACAUCGGAAUCUACUCUUUCGUGGGGGAUAACGUAGGGAAACUUACGCUAAUACCGCAUACGACCUACGGGUGGAAGCAGGGGAUCUUCGGACCUUGCGCGAUUGAAUGAGCCGAUGUCGGAUUAGCUAGUUGGCGGGGUAAAGGCCCACCAAGGCGACGAUCCGUAGCUGGUCUGAGAGGAUGAUCAGCCACACUGGAACUGAGACACGGUCCAGACUCCUACGGGAGGCAGCAGUGGGGAAUAUUGGACAAUGGGCGCAAGCCUGAUCCAGCCAUACCGCGUGGGUGAAGAAGGCCUUCGGGUUGUAAAGCCCUUUUGUUGGGAAAGAAAAGCAGCAGGUUAAUACCCCGCUGUUCUGACGGUACCCAAAGAAUAAGCACCGGCUAACUUCGUG
Molecule: ribosomal RNA, 492 nt
Filed under: uncultured bacterium
Lineage: Bacteria
Description: partial 16S ribosomal RNA
Rfam family: Bacterial small subunit ribosomal RNA
Source: RNAcentral